GAUGAACGCUGGCGGCGUGCCUAAUACAUGCAAGUCGAGCGAACAGACGAGGAGCUUGCUCCUCUGACGUUAGCGGCGGACGGGUGAGUAACACGUGGAUAACCUACCUAUAAGACUGGGAUAACUUCGGGAAACCGGAGCUAAUACCGGAUAAUAUAUUGAACCGCAUGGUUCAAUAGUGAAAGACGGUUUUGCUGUCACUUAUAGAUGGAUCCGCGCCGCAUUAGCUAGUUGGUAAGGUAACGGCUUACCAAGGCAACGAUGCGUAGCCGACCUGAGAGGGUGAUCGGCCACACUGGAACUGAGACACGGUCCAGACUCCUACGGGAGGCAGCAGUAGGGAAUCUUCCGCAAUGGGCGAAAGCUUGACGGAGCAACGCCGCGUGAGUGAUGAAGGUCUUCGGAUCGUAAAACUCUGUUAUUAGGGAAGUACAAAUGUGUAAGUAACUAUGCACGUCUUGACGGUACCUAAUCAGAAAGCCACGGCUAACUACGUG
Molecule: ribosomal RNA, 497 nt
Filed under: uncultured bacterium
Lineage: Bacteria
Description: partial 16S ribosomal RNA
Rfam family: Bacterial small subunit ribosomal RNA
Source: RNAcentral